AUGAUCACUUCAGCAGCACAAAUACUAGAAUUGUAAGGGAAAAAGGGAAGAUCAGCAUGGGCCCUGCUCAAGGAUGACAUCAAAUUCGUAAUGUAUUUCAUAUUUUU
Small nuclear RNA from Sciurus vulgaris (Eurasian red squirrel), 107 nucleotides. The record is from Ensembl. Lineage: Eukaryota; Metazoa; Chordata; Mammalia; Rodentia; Sciuridae.